CGGAUAGCUCAGUUGGUAGAGCAGGGGAUUGAAAAUCCCCGUGUCGGGGGUUCGAUUCCCUCUCCGGC
This 68-nucleotide transfer RNA is filed under the name marine eukaryotic metagenome. It matches the Rfam family "tRNA". Rfam says of the family: Transfer RNA (tRNA) molecules are approximately 80 nucleotides in length. Their secondary structure includes four short double-helical elements and three loops (D, anti-codon, and T loops). The record is from RNAcentral.